RNAcentral lists this ribosomal RNA (3215 nucleotides) under Helicobacter sp. 11S02596-1. RNAcentral describes it as "bacterial LSU rRNA". It matches the Rfam family "Bacterial large subunit ribosomal RNA". Lineage: Bacteria; Pseudomonadati; Campylobacterota; Epsilonproteobacteria; Campylobacterales; Helicobacteraceae. The record is from RNAcentral.
UUGAAAUAAGCUUUUAAGGGCAGAUGGUGGAUGCCUUGGCAAAGAGAGGCGAUGAAGGACGUACUAGACUGCGAUAAGCUAUGGGGAGCUGUCAAGAAGCUUUGAUCCAUAGAUUUCCGAAUGGGGCAACCCGGCUAGCAGCGAUGCUAGUCACCUUUAAUGGAGCGAACGUUGGGAAGUGAAACAUCUCAGUACCAACAGGAAAAGAAAUCAAACGAGAUUCCCCUAGUAGCGGCGAGCGAACGGGGAGAAGGGCAAACCAAGUGCUUGCACUUGGGGUUGUGGACUGCAAUAGCCACUUCAAUCACUUAGCAGAACAAGUUGGAAAGCUAAGCCAUAGAGGGUGAUAGCCCCGUAUGCGAAAAGUGAUUGAUAGGUAGCAGUAUCCAGAGUAGGUCAGGACACGUGAAAUCCGGACUGAAGCAGGGGAGACCACUCUCCAACCCUAAAUACUCCUCUUUGACCGAUAGCGAACAAGUACCGUGAGGGAAAGGUGAAAAGAACCGCAGUGAGCGGAGUGAAAUAGAACCUGAAACCAUCUGCCUACAAUCAUUCAGAGCCCUAUGAUUUAUCAGGGUGAUGGACUGCCUUUUGCAUAAUGAUCCUGCGAGUUGUGGUGUCUGGCAAGGUUAAGCAAACGCGAAGCCGUAGCGAAAGCGAGUCUGAAUAGGGCGUAAGCCAGCUCUUUUAUACCCAUAAAACUUAGGAAAAUUCUUCUUGUGGCAAUCUUUGCGGGAGUCUGCGAAAAAUGCUUAGUCAUUACCGAUAAGGUAACUCCUUACGCAUUUUUCUUGACAACCUACAAAUCUUAUCCACAAUGCUAGAAUUUUCUGAUAGUAAAGUUUUAUGUAGGAAAUUCUAAGAUUUUUAGAUGAUUUGAGUAGUUUUGCAAAUGAGUGCGCCGGGAGCUACCUUAAGCGGUAGUGACCAAGCACGAAUGAAGUAAUCUACUCAAAGUGCUAAAAAGAUGAAUUUCUUGUUUUAUGGUUAUAAAUGAGCUGGCUUUAGUCAGAUGCUGCAGACCCGAAGCUAAGUGAUCUAUCCAUGGCCAAGUUGAAACGAGUGUAAUAGCUCGUGGAGGACUGAACUCGUACCCAUUGAAACGGGUUGGGAUGAGCUGUGGAUAGGGGUGAAAGGCCAAACAAACUUAGUGAUAGCUGGUUCUCUUCGAAAUAUAUUUAGGUAUAGCCUCAAGUGAUAGUAAUAGGGGGUAGAGCUCUGAUUGGGCUAGGGCUGCUCACCGCGGUACCAAACCCUGUCAAACUUCGAAUACCUAUUACCCUAUCUUGGGAGUCAGGCGGUGGGUGAUAAAAUCAAUCGUCGAAAGGGGAACAACCCAGACUGGCAAAUAAGGUCCCAAAGUUCUAUUCUGAGUGGAAAAAGAUGUGUAGUUACUCAGACAACCAGGAGGUUGGCUUAGAAGCAGCCAUCCUUUAAAGAAAGCGUAACAGCUCACUGGUCUAGUGAUUAUGCGCUGAAAAUAUAACGGGGCUAAGAUAGACACCGAAUUUCCAGAUUGUGCUGAUGCACAGUGGUAGAAGAGCGUUCGUAUCAGCGUUGAAGGCAUACCGGUAAGGAGUGCUGGAGCGAUGCGAAGUGAGCAUGCAGGAAUGAGUAGCGAUAAAAUAUGUGAGAAUCAUAUUCGCCGUAAAUCUAAGGUUUCCUACGCUAUGCUCGUCAUCGUAGGGUUAGUCGGGUCCUAAGACAAGUCAGAAAUGGGUAGUCGAUGGAAAAUAGGUUAAUAUUCCUAUACCAACCAUUGUGUGCGAUGGGGGGACGCAUAGGGUUAAGCGAGCCAGCGGAUGGAAGUGCUGGUCGAAGGGCGUAGAUUGGAGGAUAGGCAAAUCCACCUCUGUAUUCGAAACCUUACAGGCUUCUUGAAACCUUCGGGUCGAUAGGAGAAUCGCUGAUACCGUCGUGCCAAGAAAAGCCUCUAAGUUUAGCAAUGGUUGCCCGUACCGCAAACCGACACAGGUAGAUGAGAUGAGUAUUCUAAGGCGCGUGAAAGAACUCUCCUUAAGGAACUCUGCAAACUAGCACCGUAAGUUCGCGAUAAGGUGUGCCUGAGCAAUCAGGUCUCAGCAAAGAGUCCCUCCCGACUGUUUACCAAAAACACAGCACUUUGCAAACUCGUAAGAGGAAGUAUAAGGUGUGACGCCUGCCCGGUGCUCGAAGGUUAAGAGGAUCAGUCAGCAGCAAUGCGAAGCUUUGAAUUGAAGCCCGAGUAAACGGCGGCCGUAACUAUAACGGUCCUAAGGUAGCGAAAUUCCUUGUCGGUUAAAUACCGACCUGCAUGAAUGGCGUAACGAGAUGGGAGCUGUCUCAAGGAGAGAUUCAGUGAAAUUGUAGUGGAGGUGAAAAUUCCUCCUACCCGCGGCAAGACGGAAAGACCCCGUGGACCUUUACUACAGCUUGGCACUGCCGAUGGGAGCAUUAUGCGCAGGAUAGGUGGGAGGCUUUGAAAUCUUCACUCCGGUGGGGAUGGAGCCAUCCUUGAGAUACCACCCUUAAUGUUUCUGUCUGCUAACUAGCUUGAGUUAUCCUCAAGUAGGACAAUGCCUGGUGGGUAGUUUGACUGGGGCGGUCGCCUCCUAAAAAGUAACGGAGGCUUGCAAAGGUUGGCUCAUUGCGGUUGGAAAUCGCAAGUUGAGUGUAAUGGCAUAAGCCAGCCUGACUGUAAGACAAACAAGUCGAGCAGAGACGAAAGUCGGUCAUAGUGAUCCGGUGGUUCUGUGUGGAAGGGCCAUCGCUCAAAGGAUAAAAGGUACCCCGGGGAUAACAGGCUGAUCUCCCCCAAGAGCUCACAUCGACGGGGAGGUUUGGCACCUCGAUGUCGGCUCAUCGCAUCCUGGGGCUGGAGCAGGUCCCAAGGGUAUGGCUGUUCGCCAUUUAAAGCGGUACGCGAGCUGGGUUCAGAACGUCGUGAGACAGUUCGGUCCCUAUCUGCCGUGGGCGUAGGAAAGUUGAGGAGAGCUGUCCCUAGUACGAGAGGACCGGGAUGGACGUGCCACUAGUGUACCAGUUGUUCUGCCAAGAGCACCGCUGGGUAGCUACGCACGGAUGUGAUAACCGCUGAAAGCAUCUAAGCGGGAAGCCAACUCCAAGAUAAACUUUCCCUGAAGGUCGCAGGAAGACUACCUGCUUGAUAGGGUAGAUGUGUAAGUGCAGUAAUGCAUUCAGCUGACUACUACUAAUCGACCGUUUGGCUUAUUUUU